GGAGACGCAGCAGCUGAAGAGGGACCAGCAGGGGAGAGGAGCUGAGCUGGAAGUGUUCUGAGCCAUCCUCCAGCUCAGCUCCUCUCCCCUGCUGGUUCCUUCUUCAGCUGCUGCGUCUCU
Molecule: non-coding RNA, 120 nt
Organism: Podarcis lilfordi (Lilford's wall lizard)
Lineage: Eukaryota; Metazoa; Chordata; Lepidosauria; Squamata; Lacertidae
Source: the annotation of a GenBank genome assembly